Nerophis ophidion (straightnose pipefish) is the source of this 314-nucleotide long non-coding RNA. RefSeq lists it as uncharacterized. The record is from RefSeq and is a predicted model, not a curated record. The transcript has 2 exons. Lineage: Eukaryota; Metazoa; Chordata; Actinopteri; Syngnathiformes; Syngnathidae.
AUCGCUGGAAGUGGGUAUGUCUCAAGCUUCUUCCACUUGGUCCACUCCAAAGCGGGCUGCAAAGGGGAAGAAGUGGAAGCAGUUGAAUGACACAUGUUGCAUUUUGUAACUGGCAACAAAGUACCAGGUAAAAAAGAUUGUGAAGCCUGCCUCCAUAAAGAACUAGUAGCUCUACAGGACAGAGAUUGGCUUGCCAUCAAGUACUACAUCCAUAACAGAAUUAUAUUAAAAAAAGGGAAAAAAAAUGUUUUCCCACAUCUUCUGUGGUAGUUUGAGUAUGUUACCAGCAAUUAAAAAAGCAAAAUAAACAGCAA